RNAcentral lists this ribosomal RNA (117 nucleotides) under uncultured bacterium. RNAcentral describes it as "partial 16S ribosomal RNA". It matches the Rfam family "Bacterial small subunit ribosomal RNA", at positions 1357 to 1482 of the family's 1533-position model. The record is from RNAcentral.
CUACGGUGAAUACGUUCCCGGACCUUGUACACACCGCCCGUCAAGCCAUGGAAGCUGGGUGUACCCAAAGUCGAUAACCGUAAGGAGUCGCCUAGGGUAAAACUAGUAACUGGGGCU